Ictidomys tridecemlineatus (thirteen-lined ground squirrel) is the source of this 1518-nucleotide non-coding RNA. NCBI's taxonomy places the organism in Eukaryota, Metazoa, Chordata, Mammalia, Rodentia, Sciuridae. The record is from RefSeq and is a predicted model, not a curated record.
UUGCUGCUGUGGUCAGUGAUCAUUCCUGGAGUAAUGGCCCCCUAACCCAUUGCCCUGUUCUGCAACUUAUACAUCAUCAUAUUCUCCAAACUACCAUUAUCUGAACAUCUUACCCAAGGCCAUUCCCUGCUUAUCAGGAGGAAGCAGUUGUGAGCACUCAGGGUUUGCUCCAUCCUUCCAGAACACGAACAGGGUGUUUCAUGCAGAUAGUUAACACUGGCUAUUUAAGAUGUGCCUCUCAGUGAACCCCAUAUUUGGAGAGGGUGGGCGGUGGCUGGCCUUAGUCAAGGUGGUGGCUCCUUUGUCACCUGGGUUCUCGAGUGGGUCAAUGAGCACACGUUUUAAGCCAAUGGGAUUUCAGACUUGCUUGUUACUGUACCACGGUGUAACCCAUCCUCACAGAAAUGCCCAAGCAUCUACAUUUAUUGCUCCUUAUAAAAUACCCUGCAUCCAGAAAAACAAGGCUGGAUAAAUGCUCUGUGAUCCCUUUGAAGAAGUGGUGUCUGACCACAGGCUUCUGGGGAGUGAGAUCCACAGUGAAGACACAGGAGAGCUAAGAGAAAUGGAUCUCUGUGGCAGACAAGACAGAUAGCCACAAGGCAGUGUCUAAAUGGGAGUAGGAACAGUUACUCCCAGUUGGUCCUCAUGACCAUCAGCCCAAAAAAUUGGUCUUCUGAGACCAACUCCCACAUCUUCGUCUUGAGCUACAGGAGGUUCAACCAUCCUACAGAGCUGGCCUUCUCCACCCCAAGCCUUUAGUUUCAUUUUUUCUUAAUAUUACAGUCAUUGCUCAUAAAGACCUAAGUUUUGAAUAUUUAAUAGGAAAUAAUUCAAUUCAAACUCACCUACCACUAAGACACAACAUAGCACUGUUACAAAGUAAUUUGUCCAUGUUGCUCUGGCCAACCGUGACCAGCAUCCAAAACCACUGAAGUCACUUAGGAUUCAUCAGAGAUCCAGCCAGUUCCCAGAGGAGGGGACACUUGCAGCUUACUCAGGACUAGCUGUGGUCAACCGCCUUUAUCAGAAGCCAGGUGACUAUAGGAGCUUCACUGUCAUGCCCGCAUUGCUUUUAACUCUCCUCAAAACUCUUCCAUAGUCUGUUAAAACAUAUUGAGCUUCAAAUGGAAACUCCUACACACCUUGUUCUUCCGAUGCCUGGAGCCAAGGUCUGCAAUUUUUGUGAGAAGCCAGCCCCAGCUGACAGGUGCCGACGGUUCUGCAGCGCCCCCUGGUGGUCACGCCUGGCAUUUGCUGCUGGUACAGAAAAUUCGCGGAUUUCUGGGGAAAACCUGGCCCGAAAGUGUCUUCACCUAACAGAUCCUGAGUAGUGAUCCAGUGUCCUUGAAGAGGAGGCCAGAGUCCAGGCUCCUGCAUGACCCACUUCUCCAUUGUGUUUCAUCCAGGUUCAUUCUUGACUCUGCCCACCGAGGCUGGGCAAGUACAGGAUCAAAUCUAGACUCACUAACUCCCCUGAUCUAGGCUGUAUGAUGACUUAAAUAAAGGUCCCAUGAUGGA